RNAcentral lists this ribosomal RNA (445 nucleotides) under uncultured bacterium. Its description in RNAcentral is "partial 16S ribosomal RNA". It matches the Rfam family "Bacterial small subunit ribosomal RNA", at positions 29 to 523 of the family's 1533-position model. The record is from RNAcentral.
AACGAACGCUGGCGGCAGGCUUAACACAUGCAAGUCGAGCGCCCGCAAGGGAGCGGCAGACGGGUGAGUAACGCGUGGGAAUCUACCUAGUUCUACGGAACAAAACAGGGAAACUUGUGCUAAUACCGUAUACGCCCUACGGGGGAAAGAUUUAUCGGAAUUAGAUGAGCCCGCGUUGGAUUAGCUAGGUGGUGGGGUAAUGGCCGACCAAGGCGACGAUUCAUAGCUGGUCUGAGAGGAUGAUCAGCCACACUGGGACUGAGACACGGCCCAGACUCCUACGGGAGGCAGCAGGGGGGAAUAUUGGACAAUGGGCGAAAGCCUGAUCCAGCCAUGCCGCGUGAGUGAUGAAGGCCUUAGGGUUGUAAAGCUCUUUCAGUAGGGAAGAUAAUGACGGUACCUACAGAAGAAGCCCCGGCUAACUUCGUGCCAGCCGCCGCCGUAA